UAUAUGAUUAUAUGUCAUGUUACAUAUUUCUUUUUAUUCGAUCGAGUAGAGUUCUAGAGAACAUAAUUCUCAUAUAAUUAAUCCUUCAUAGAUUAUAUCUUUCAAGAAUUUCAUAUAAAUGUCAUAUCCAGUGUUCCGUGUCUUAUUGUCAGACUUUAGAUACUUAAAAAUAUUACAUCCACCACAAGAGAAUAUAUCUCUUCAUAAUACAUUUCUUAUCUUUGUGAAAAUCUCAUUAAUUUCACUAUUCUUUCACAUAAAGACUCAUUUAUCUUCCACUGGUUUUACACAUCAUGUGCAUAGACUACUAGUCCAAAUAUCUCUACUAGAGAUUAUAAUUAUAUGUCUAUUUCUUCUUUUUCAUUUUUGGUUAAUCAUUACUUUGUGUACACUUUUCAAUAGACUUUCUUUCAUGAUCCUCCUUUUUUGUCCAUAAUAUCAACUGCUCAUAUCAUGCAAAUAUAUUACGACGUCGAUUUGCUUUUGAUUCCAUUAUAUUUUGACAUGACAUAGCUAGGUAGAUCUCUUCAUUGUCAAGUACUUGAAUGUUUCAUUUGUCAUGUUUAUGUCUCUUUUAGAGAUCAUUCACUCUCUUCAAGAGAUCAUCAAAAUAUUUAUUUCCUCAAUUUGGUCAUUUUUAAUUUUGUGCUCCUUCACUUUUACGAGGAUAUUUAUAUUUGGAACCAAAGUCUAUUACGCUUCAUGCGAUCUUAAGACUCAAUAGCAGUUUGAAAUUGGUCCUUACAAGACAUUCAUUAUAUUCUGGAGCAUUUAAUCUACAACUGGUAUAGGUGACUUCAUCACUUUAUUUGGGUCAGCAAAUGCGUCUGGCAAUUACAACGCUAAAUUCUGUAAUUGAAUUAUCUUUUGGACUCUUAAUAUACAUUCUUUACUCCGAGAAUCAUUGAUAAUUCAUUUCUUUUUAUCUUUUUUUU
RNAcentral lists this small RNA (935 nucleotides) under Arabidopsis thaliana (thale cress). RNAcentral's name for it is "ATSL259100". The record is from RNAcentral. Lineage: Eukaryota; Viridiplantae; Streptophyta; Magnoliopsida; Brassicales; Brassicaceae.